Molecule: non-coding RNA, 7745 nt
Organism: Taeniopygia guttata (zebra finch)
Lineage: Eukaryota; Metazoa; Chordata; Aves; Passeriformes; Estrildidae
Source: RefSeq, a predicted model, not a curated record
CCAUGGGGGACACAUGCUGGCCAAGGGGGUCCUGUUCUGGGGCAUGGCAGCUCCAGGAGUGUUCAGACUUCUCCUUUCUUGCUCAUCUCCUGCAGGAUCUGAGCUGGCAAGAGCAGCUUAGGAAUGGAGCCCCCAGCAAGAAGGUUUCAAAGUUUCCUCCUUGAAGCCAGUGGCCAUCCAAGGCUCUGCUCUGGCCAGCCCCAGGUGGCAGCCAGGACCUGAGUGUCCCACUGGCCCCUUGGCUUUGACUCUGGCAGCUUUAGAGCUGCUGCAGAGGUGAGAGUUCUGUGGGGGGAAAUGGCCUGGGUGUGGUUUGCUCAGCCCUGCAAGAGGCACAAAACCCAAAGGGAGCCCAAGCAGUGAGUCUCUGAGAGCCUUUGAUGGUUUUCCGAGCAGGGCUGGUUGGAACCCCCACUGCAGGGGCAACUGCGAGGCAAUCAGUCCAGAAAUACAGAAAUUGAUAAUUUUGUCUCUGUCCCCAAGGGUCUGAGAGAACCACAAAACUACUGCAAAUCCCACUCCAAUCUGCUCAACAACCUGACCUGGACCCUCCUUCUGCAGCCCUUUGGAACCUCCCAGAAAGAAUGUUUGGGUUCUGGAUGUGCACACCAGAAGAGAGGGAAAAGUGUGGAAAUACUGAGCAGUGGCUGCACACGAGGGCCUGGGGAACAGAGGUGUCACAGCAGGAGCAGGCAGUGCCUAGGCAGCUGAAUUCAGGGCAGGCUGGAGUGGAUUUACCAGGGAAUCAGACCCUGAGGCACACACGGGCAUUUCCACAGAUUCCUGGGCACUGUUCCAAGGAUGGACAGAGCUUCUCCCCUUUGGGAGCAGAGUCCAUGGGAAGUCUAUGCAGUUUCAGGGUAGGAAUGAGAAAAAUGGGGAAAGUUCUAAAUAUGCCCCCACAAAAGGCUUCCUUAUGGGCUGGGUUGCUGCCCAGCAGGCAGAGAACAAUCCCAUGGAGCUGUGGGACACUCAGGGAAAUUCCACAGUGUUAUCUACAAGCAAACACUGCUGUGGGGAUGUACCAAUGAGCUCCUAAAGGGAACAAAAAAGUCUCAUUUCUUUUUAAUUUGUUUGUGUUUUUCUUGUAAGCGACUGUUGGGCGAGCAGUGAUUCAAAUGAUUUUAUAAAUUGGAGCAUUUUAUACCUUGUCUUUUUGAUUUUUGCUGAGUUUGUUUUUUAUUGGAAAAUAGUGGUGUGGGAAAGUAUUUUUGCCUUUAUUCUAUGGAUGUAUAAUUUUGUCUCAGCCAAUUUGGCCUCAGGUGUUCCCUGGGAUGCGUGAGCCAGGAAACUGGGGGACAGGAAAAAGCUCAGGUUUGUGUGGGGCACAGACCCAGAGCCUCCCAGGACAGCCUUGGAGUGCCCCAGGGUGGGGGCUGUGCUGGGCUCUGGGUUACCACAAAAUCUGAGGCACCCCAUGAAGGAGCUGUGACCCCUGUGCCCACCCAGCCACUCACCAUCCCUGGCACCCCCAUUCCCCUAGGAAGCCAACCAUGGGAUCCCCAUUGCUUUGGUCUCUCCUCCCUGGGGACCCCCAUCCCAGGACUGCCAUUGCCCAGGACCACCAUUGCAUUGAUCCCAUCCCAUGGGCUGCUUCUUCCCGAGGGUCCCCUUUUUUCCCCUGCACCCCCAACACUGGCACCCACAUGCCAUGACCCAAAAUUCCUGGAGACCAUGUUCCUCCAGCAUUCCCAUCCCUUAAUCCCCCCAGGCAUGGAGACCCCAAUUCCCCUGGAUCCCCAUUCUGGACACCCAUCCUUAGUUCCCUGCAUCCUCUGAGCCCCCCACUCCUGACAACAGCUUUUCCCACCAUGUGCCCAGACUAUCCCAUAAUGUCCCCAGCCUGUCCCCUGCUGUGUCUUCUUUCCCCCACCCUGCCCGCACCAAGGGCCACCUACACGUGGGGAUGAAACGUGACCUCGCUUCCUUCCCCUUCAUCUGAAGAGCCACCAGCCAGGGGAGGCUACAGAAGCCAGUGACAGCCAGUCCACAUGGCUGGGGACACGGGGAUGGCCGGGAAGGCGGCGCUGCUCCUGUGGGCCACAUCAGUGCUGCAGGUGCAGGCAUAGGCGCUGCUGGAGGACAAGAAGGUGACACUGCGCUGCCAGCGCUGGCAGGACAACUCAGUCAGUUUGGUGUCCUUCUACCAUGAGGAGAAGAAACCGUGGAAGCUCUGCAAUGGGACCAAGCUGUUCCUGUCCCUUCUGCAGCUGCACCACAGUGGCCGCUACAGCUGCAAGGGCCAGGUGAAAUCCAGGGUAUCAUGGAGAUGGGAGGAGUCCGCACCGGUGACAGUGACACUGCACAGUGAGCAGCUCACAGCUGCCACCCCCACAAGCCCUCCCCAGGGACUUGGGUUCACAAAUCCCCCUCUCCUCUCCUUCCCAGAGCUCUUCCCUGUGCCGGUGCUGGAGGGUCCCCCUGAGCCAAUCGAGGGGGCUCCCUGAAGUUCGCCUGCCUCAGCACCCCAGCCCCCUGUGGCCCCAAGCUCCCAUCCUGCACGUGUUCUACUGGGACGGGCAGGUGGUGGGGGGCCCGCAGAGGUCCCCACAGUUGCUGGUACCCGCCGUGGGGUCUCCCAUUCGGGGAAUUACAGCUGCGAGGUGCAUUCCGAGGGGGGAGCUGUGUGGAAGAGCAGCGCCUGGCUCCACGUCAUGGUGUGCAGUGAGUGCGAGGAUGGGCACGGGGAACUCCCACAGCCUGCUGGAGUGCCUCCAUUACUGCCCAGGUCCCCCCAUCCCUCACUGAGUCCCUUCACCCAUCUCUGAGUCAACCCUACCCCUCUCUAAGGUUCCCCCACGUUCCCCAAGUCCCACCAUUCCUCCCCCGGGUUCUCAUACCCUCACUGGGGUCUCCUCAUCUCCCUCAUCAGGUGUCCCCUCACUGAACCCCCCAUGCUUCCUUGGGGUUCCUUUCCGACCCCCCCCCCCCCCCCCCCACAUGCUCUGCAACCCUCUCCCUCUCUGGGCUCUCCCUGCCCUGCCCCAACCACCCUCUGAGUCCCUCUCUGUCCCCUGGUGUCCCCCCUCCCGCAGGGGUUCCACCCUCGGGAUGUCAUGGUUGGCACAGCCUACUGGGGGACAGGUGGCACUUUGGGACUGCCUGGUGCUGAGCUCAUGGUGGCUGUGGGGACAGGUUCCCUGUCCUUCUCCUGGUACCUGUGGGGGGCUUGGGGGCACUGUUGGGCACCUGCCCCCACCUGGAGCUGUGCCAUGCUGGGGUCAAAGGCAGUGGCUGUUACCAGUGCGGGGACAGUAGUGCCGAGAGUGUCCCCCUGAAUGUCACUAUCUUGGGUGAGAGGAACCCUUGGGCUGAGGGUGACCCCACCCACAGCACUCUCAUCCCACCUCACCAUCUGCCAGCCCUGUCUGUGUCCCCGCAGUACCCGUGGCCAAUGCCACCAUCACCCCCGGUCCCCUGGCACACCAGGUGCGCACAGGUGACCCCAUGACCCUGCACUGCUCGGUGCAGGUUGGCUCAGCCCUUGUCACCUUCACCUGGCUGCACGACGGGCAGGAGGUGGCCCAGGAUCCCCUCCUGGAGCUUGGGGAUGUCAUUGUGGGACAUUUGGGCACCUACCAGUGUGUGGCCACCAAUCAGCUGGAUGGGCACCGGGCACCCAGUCCAGAACUGGCCCCGGAGGUGACAACACAGGAACAGGGCACAGGUGGAGUCACACAGGGUCACACAGGGCGUGCAGGAGCCCCGGGCUUCAGGGUGACCCCAUUGUGUCUCUCCCUGUCCCCACCAGUGGCCCCAGGGGUCAGCAGGUCCCUCCUGUUCCUGGUCCUGCUUGUGGCUAUCUUCAGGGGCUGGCACUGGUGGCACCACAUGGGUGGGUGACAAUGAGGGGGAAUGGGGGUCCCAGGGAUUGGGUUGAAGCCCUCCCCAGAGUACGGGGGCCAUAAGGUGGCACCAACAGCUCCUGACUUGGGUAGAGCUGAAUCCUCAGGGAUGUCCUGGGGGAUUUGGGGAGGUCCUGCAGGGUUUUCCAGGGAAGUUGGGGGUUCUAUCAGGGGUUUGGGGGAGUUUGGGGGCGUGGGGGGUUCAAGGGGUGGUUCAUGGCUUUUUGGGGGCUUCAAGGAAUCUCCAGGCUCCCAGGGACAGUCAAAGGUCUCGAGGGUGUUCAGGAACCCUGAGGACUCCACAGCCACCCGUCUCCCUUUCUUUUGCAGCCCUCAGGAAGCAGCAGGAAAAGUGAGUGGGGGGCUCCAGUUCUGAUCCCCCAUUUUACACUAACUGUGACACUCCCCCCACCCCACCCCACCCCCACUCUUUAUCCCUGCAGGGCUCCCCCAGCUUCCUUGGCCCCCUCAGAGGCAGGGGAGGUGCUGUACAGCCGGGUCAUAAAAACCAAGAAGGCAGGGGGUGAGUACGGAGGAGCAGACAGGGACAUGUCACCCAUGGGUGUCACCUCCCACCAAGGUUCCCCCAACUGGUGUCUCUUGCAGUGCCCCCUGUGCCACAUCCCUGCGGGUGACCAACACGGAGCUGCUGGGACCCCAUGGGCAACAGUGGGACCCUGAUGACAUCAACGAGAACGUGCUGUGACACUGGGGAGCCCUGGGGGCACUGGAGGUCCAUGUGUGUCCACCCUCCAGUUCCUGUGGGUGCCCACCAUGCCAGGGGGGUGGCCAGGAGUGGGGGGUCCGAUGUGGGGUUGCCCAGAGCUCCCUGUUCCAGUGCUCCCAGUGCUCCCAGUGCCCCCAGGGGCUCCCCAUUCCUUUCCCCAGUGCAGGGGGCACAGCCACCCUUUCCCUCUCAUGGGACCGAAAAUGCAGCUUUUUGAUGAAAGAAGGGGAAAUGGUUUUUGUUUUUUCAGCUCUGCCCUAUUCAGUUCAGGAAGGAGGAGGGUCCUGGUCAGGUUGUUGAACAGAUCAGUGUGGAAUUUGCACGAUUUUUGGGGCUCUGUCUUGGUUUGAAAAGACCUUCUGUUAAGGAAGGUAGGAGCUUCUAUUGAAAUGGAAAAGAUAACCUCCUUCCCUCUGAAUUAUUAUAAUUUUGGAAUUAAGGAACUCUCAGGUAAAGAUAUGGGAGUAGGGAUAACAGUCCUUUAUUAGGAAAAAUGUUAAAAAUAAAAAUAAAAAAUUGUUGUAGAUGAAUAAUGAGAUGAUUGGCUCUUGCAAUUAAGUGAUGAAUAUUAAGAGAAGCUUUAUUGAUGUAUAGUUACAUUAUUGUGACUAUAUUGUUGUUUAGGUGUCCUCUAUUCUCCCCCUAGUCCCCUUUUCCAUCCCUCUGUAUUGUUGCCACCGGACAACCUGGAUUAUCCAGGACAGGUAAAAGGAAGGUGUGUACAUGUUUCCCUUGCAACAUGCAAGGGGCAGUUGAGAAUGGAAAAGCUUGUUGCUAGUGGGGGAAGCACAGCAUGACAACACCUGGCCCACCAAUCAAGUUGCAAGAAAGCAGUCUCCACCAAUAAACGGCAAAGAAGAGUUGACUGACAGACCUUGGGAGGGGCCAGGGUUGGCUGAUGCAACCCCCAGAGGUAUAAAAGGCAAAGCACGCAUUUUGAAGAUGAGCCAUGUGGUAGGCAGCCACCAGGGGGGCUUCCAGGCCUGUUUUUCCUUAUUUAGUAAUUUUGUUGCAUUUUUGCUAAGGUUUAAUAAACCUGUUAAAAUUCUUUAAGUGAACAGUUGUUUCUCAUAAAAAUAAAAAUAAAAUGCAGUUAUAUAAAACAACACUGACAGAGUUAAAACACAACCUGACACCCUGUGUAUCAGGAUAUUGGUAACAGUUCAUUAAAUGGUGGUUGCAGUCCUCCUGGAGUUACAGGUGUGGUACUGUUGGAGCAGUGAUCCUGUAGAAGGGUGGAGUUUUUCUCUGAAGGUUCAGUGCUGGUGUAGAUGGGCUUGGUUUUCCUCUGGGAAAGCAGUGUGAAAAGGCUGGGUGUGGUGUUCCAAAUGUCAGAUUAUAUCCAGGUAGGAAUACUUGGCUCCUCACCCUGGGUGGAGCAUCUCCCAGUGGAAUGAUGUAAUUUUAUCAGUCAUGCAGUGACCACCAAUGGCCCAUUAACAAAAGGAUUGGUUGUGGAAGAGAUAAAGAAAGCUGUCCCACCUGGUUUUAACAGGUAACUCAAUUAACAGAAGAUAACUGCUCCACCUCUAACAGAUGGCAAAUAGAAUACACACCCCCAGUCACAUCUUGUAACCUGAGACAGAAGCCAUGGGUGUACCAGGAGUGCUGAGAGGGGGAUUGCAGAGACACUGGGAGUACAGGGGUACUGGGAGGUAGAAUGGGAAACACCUGGAUAUACUGGGAGCAAUGGAGAGGCACUGGGAGUGGAAAUAGGGAGCCCCUGGGGGUACUGGGAGCACUAUGGGGACAGAAUGGGGAAGUCUCUGAGAGUACUGGGAGCACUUGGAUGUGGAAUGGGGAGGCACUCGUGGUAGGGUGGGGAAGCCCUUGGGGUUCUGGGGGAACAGGGAGCUCUGGGUGCCCUGUGCAGCCUCACAUGUGACCCCCACUUGUGCCCAUCUACUCGUGAAUAUCGGGCACCAACAGGAGCAAUGGGGGGGGGGCACACAUGUGUGGCUGCCCAUUGGUAGAGUCCCCCACUGCCCCGCAGUUCCCUCAGAACCCCUCAGUGCCCACCCGUGCCCCGAGUGUCUCAGCACAUUCUCGUAUAUGUCACCAGGCUCUCGCAUUCACCUGUGGGUUGCUGGCAGCUCCACGUAGGUCACCUGGGGAUCCUGGAGUGUAGUGGCAUGGGGGACAUUGCAAGAGACACUGGCUGUGGGAUCUGGGUGGGGUGAAACUCGUGGGUGACGUGUCCCUCUGCAUGUGCCCCCCCCUGUACUCACCCCCCAUUUGCUUGGUGAUUACAACGUGGGGGUACAGCACCUCCCCCUCCUCUGGGGGUUCAGGGGAUCCAGAGGAGCCCUGAGGGAAUAAAGGGGAUUUGUGGGAGGGAAUGGGAGGUCUUAGGGGUUGGACGAAAAGGGGAGUGUGUGAUUUAACCCCCCCCACUCACCUUUCCUUGUGAUUCCAGGCAGCUGCAAAGGAAAGAGGAGAGGGAUAAUUGUAGAAUCCCCAGGACCCUGACCACUCUCAGGAAUUCUGGCCCCUCAUUUUCUCCCAGGACUCCUGAGCAUCCCUAAUGUCCCCCAGAAUCCCUGAACUUCCCCUGUGCUCUCUUAUCACCAGUCAGAGUUCCAUGUACAAAUCAUGAAUGGGAUGGGACUGUUGUGGAAUGCAUGUAGAGCUGUUUAUUUUCCAACAUCAGUUUCAUUACAUAGUUAUGACAAUGGGAAUAUGCCAGCAGCUCAUAUCCCCAGCAGCAGACAAAGAAUUUAAUGUUACAACUUAAAAAAAAUUUUGACCAAUCACACAAAGCAAAAGCAUACUGACAGUAGUUCUAUCCAACCACUAUAAGCACACUUACCUUUGGUUAAAACAAUGCUGGCUUAUUUUGAGUACAAUACCCACUUGUAAGCCUUAAAACACAAUGCACAGAGCUCCAUUAUAAAGUUUAGAACUUCCUAAUACCUCGCUAGAUAUAAUUUUAUGUAGCUUAGGGAGUUAUUCUAGCCAAGCUUUAAUACACAAACCGUUCUAUUUGUCCUUACUUUCUACUUGUUUCAUAACAUUUCUGCUGAAAAAUCUUAUGGCUACUGCUUAGCUCUAAUUGCAGUUUUGCUGUCCCUGAGGCCUGCCUUUUGCAACUUUCCUAAAACCCUCUGAUUUUAAGGAUUCACAUACUCUGGACCCCUUAAGCCCCCAGAAUCCAAAGGUUGGCAGGGAUGGAG